CCCUGGUGACUGAGAAGUAAAGAAUCUGCCUGCAAUGCAGGAGAACCAGGUUCAACCCCUGAACCAGGAA
Molecule: transfer RNA, 70 nt
Filed under: Bos taurus (domestic cattle)
Lineage: Eukaryota; Metazoa; Chordata; Mammalia; Artiodactyla; Bovidae
Also listed under: 1 other name
Rfam family: tRNA
About the family: Transfer RNA (tRNA) molecules are approximately 80 nucleotides in length. Their secondary structure includes four short double-helical elements and three loops (D, anti-codon, and T loops).
Source: Rfam by way of RNAcentral